GCACACAGGUGCUGCAUGGCUGUCGUCAGCUCGUGUCGUGAGAUGUUGGUUAAGUCCCGCAACGAGCGCAACCCUUGCCAUUAGUUGCUACAUUUAGUUGGGCACUCUAAUGGGACUGCCGGUGACAAACCGGAGGAAGGUGGGGAUGACGUCAAGUCCUCAUGGCCCUUAUAGGUGGGGCUACACACGUCAUACAAUGGCCGGUACAAAGGGUAGCCAACCCGCGAGGGGGAGCCAAUCCCAUAAAGCCGGUCGUAGUCCGGAUCGCAGUCUGCAACUCGACUGCGUGAAGUCGGAAUCGCUAGUAAUCGUGGAUCAGCAUGUCACGGUGAAUACGUUCCCGGGUCUU
Molecule: ribosomal RNA, 349 nt
Filed under: uncultured Comamonas sp.
Lineage: Bacteria; Pseudomonadati; Pseudomonadota; Betaproteobacteria; Burkholderiales; Comamonadaceae
Description: bacterial SSU rRNA
Rfam family: Bacterial small subunit ribosomal RNA
Source: RNAcentral